RNAcentral lists this long non-coding RNA (314 nucleotides) under Anser brachyrhynchus (Pink-footed goose). Its description in RNAcentral is "lncRNA (ENSABRG00000000292.1)". The record is from RNAcentral. Lineage: Eukaryota; Metazoa; Chordata; Aves; Anseriformes; Anatidae.
AAGGGGUACUCCUGUAGAAAACUUAAUCUAAGUUCUCUGCAGUGCAAUUGCUGAGGUAAAGUUUUGGUGUGUGAAGGGGAGCUAUGAAGGCCAAGAGAAUUGAGGAUUUCAUUCUGUGACAGUUAGAAGGAAAUGAAGAAAUGAAGAAAAGAGGAGGAGAAUAUUCCAAAACAUCUAUAUCUAGCAUAGAGCCGAUAAAAAGGACCAUCAGCCAUGUGCACUCUGAGCUUACCUCCCUGCUGCACUGCAGCCGCUGCUGGGGACUGGGUACAGGCCCCCAGGGCUGGAGGGGCCCAUCUCAGGGGCCUGUGUGA